This 79-nucleotide transfer RNA is filed under the name Kitasatospora griseola. RNAcentral's name for it is "tRNA-Thr". Lineage: Bacteria; Bacillati; Actinomycetota; Actinomycetes; Kitasatosporales; Streptomycetaceae. The record is from RNAcentral.
UGUCGGUGUGGCCGAGGACCGCGGCCGUCUGGCCGGUGACCAGGUCCAGGACGCGGCUGUGCUGCUCGGUCUCGGGCAG